RNA transcript from Oncorhynchus kisutch (coho salmon), 1827 nucleotides. It is a transcript of the gene named beta-2-microglobulin-like, with no coding region annotated. The transcript is spliced from 3 exons. The record is from RefSeq and is a predicted model, not a curated record. NCBI's taxonomy places the organism in Eukaryota, Metazoa, Chordata, Actinopteri, Salmoniformes, Salmonidae.
CAGUUAGGUUAUUUCCACAGCCAGGCAAAGGCAGACGGAUCUUUCCAUUCUCUAUUUUAUUUGAGUACGAAUAAUUCCGAAUUACACCAAAUAUGAAGUCUAUUCUGUCAAUCGUUGUACUUGGGCUCAUUUACAGCGCUGUGGAGGCCAAAGAAUCUCACCCCAAGGUGCAGGUGUACAGCCGUAACCCUGGCAACUUUGGCGAUAAGAACACCCUGAUCUGUCACGUGAGUGGCUUCCACCCCCCUGACAUCAGCAUCCAGCUCCUGAAGAACGGCGUGGAGAUCCCCGACGCCAAGCAGACAGACCUGGCCUUCGAACAGGGAUGGCAGUUCCACCUCACCAAGAGUGUUGGAUUCACACCAGCCAGCGGAGAGGAGUACACCUGCAGAGUCCGUCACCUGAAGAAUCUGAAGACCUACACCUGGGGUGAGUUACUAGUGUAGUUAGAGGAGUACACCUGGGGUGAGUUACUAGUGUAGUUAGAGGAGUACACCUGGGGUGAGUUACUAGUGUAGUUAGUAGUUAGAGGAGUACACCUGGGGUGAGUUACUAGUGUAGUUAGUAGUUAGAGGAGUAUACCUGGGGUGAGUUACUGAUUUAGUUAGUAGUUAGAGGAGUAUACCUGGGGUGAGUUACUGAUUUAGUUAGUAGUUAUAGGAGUACACCUGGGGUGAGCUACUAGUGUAGUUAGAAGAGUAUACCUGGGGUGAGUUACUGAUUUAGUUAGAGGAGUACACCUGACUGGCCUAUCCUCUCACAUCUCCACAAGUGUCUAGGGAGGAAGUACAGGGCUUUUUUUGCUGGACAGGGCCCUGGAGAGCUAGGUUCAUUAUGUGGUCAUUGAUUUAGAUACCAAUUGAUGAGUCAUUAGUUACAGUAAGAGACUGAUUUCAUGUAGACAUAUAGUUUGUGGAAGUCUGUAAAACAAUGACAAUGUUGUCUGUGUUGUUGUUGUUUUCUCCAGAGGCAGAUAUGUAAGGAUCUGGAGCAGGACAUAAUGGCGGCCAUUCCAUCUGUGGUUGUCCAAUCCGUGCCAGCCUUUCACUAGAGCUGAGAUGACAAACUGGGGCUUUUUUAGUUUUUGUUUUUUUGGUACCACUUUGUUGCCAUGGUGCCAGUUUCAAUGGUUUUGAAUUGACAAUCAUUACUAAAACACUUACACACAAAAUUGUUCAGAUUUUUUUUUGGGGGGGCAAGCUAUUUUUAAUUGACAAAUGGCACAGCUUCUGAUGAACAUCCUCAAUCAAAGUCACUUUUUUCAAAACAAUAAAGGCUUUUAUCAAGUAUUUUAUUUUUAGAUAAAAUAAAAAAAAACUUUAAUUUCCUUGAAAUUGGUACCAUUAGAUUUGACCACUUUUUCUCAUAAAUAAACAAUAAAUAAACAAACUCCAUAACUUGCACUAUUUGAAUGUGGUUUUAGCUAUAAGCAACAGUGUAAUAUAAAGAAUGAUAUUUGAUCAGCAUUUUAAUUUUUAAAGCCCAAAUUAUUUUCGAGGAAGCCCAUGUGAUAUGUAUUUGUGUGACCUGUAAAUAUCAACGUUCAUUUUUGGUUUUGAAGUCAUUUAUCAAUAUAACAUCUCAUCUUCUGUCUAUCCUUCAACAUUCCUGUAACGGACCCAAUUAUCAACAGUAAAACAAAAUGGGGUCUUUUUACAGGCACAUUUUUUGCCAAGUAGAGAACUGUAUUUUCAUUACUUAAAAAAAAAAAGAAGAUAUAUUCUGUCUUUCCGGUGUAUUAUACAACACUUUUCUGUUCAGUUUGAUUAAAUAAAUAAAUGGUAAACUAUUGACAUUGGACAACUAUUUGACUAAAUAUUUUUAAUU